GACGAACGCUGGCGGCGUGCUUAACACAUGCAAGUCGAACGGAAAGGCCCUGCUUUUGUGGGGUGCUCGAGUGGCGAACGGGUGAGUAACACGUGAGUAACCUGCCCUUGACUUUGGGAUAACUUCAGGAAACUGGGGCUAAUACCGGAUAGGAGCUCCUGCUGCAUGGUGGGGGUUGGAAAGUUUCGGCGGUUGGGGAUGGACUCGCGGCUUAUCAGCUUGUUGGUGGGGUAGUGGCUUACCAAGGCUUUGACGGGUAGCCGGCCUGAGAGGGUGACCGGCCACAUUGGGACUGAGAUACGGCCCAGACUCCUACGGGAGGCAGCAGUGGGGAAUAUUGCACAAUGGGCGGAAGCCUGAUGCAGCAACGCCGCGUGCGGGAUGACGGCCUUCGGGUUGUAAACCGCUUUCGCCCGUGACGAAGCGUGAGUGACGGUAAUGGGUAAAGAAGCACCGGCUAACUACGUGCCAGCAGCCGCGGUGAUACGUAGGGUGCGAGCGUUGUCCGGAUUUAUUGGGCGUAAAGGGCUCGUAGGUGGUUGAUCGCGUCGGAAGUGUAAUCUUGGGGCUUAACCCUGAGCGUGCUUUCGAUACGGGUUGACUUGAGGAAGGUAGGGGAGAAUGGAAUUCCUGGUGGAGCGGUGGAAUGCGCAGAUAUCAGGAGGAACACCAGUGGCGAAGGCGGUUCUCUGGGCCUUUCCUGACGCUGAGGAGCGAAAGCGUGGGGAGCGAACAGGCUUAGAUACCCUGGUAGUCCACGCUGUAAACGGUGGGUACUAGGUGUGGGGUCCAUUCCACGGGUUCCGUGCCGUAGCUAACGCUUUAAGUACCCCGCCUGGGGAGUACGGCCGCAAGGCUAAAACUCAAAGGAAUUGACGGGGCCCCGCACAAGCGGCGGAGCAUGCGGAUUAAUUCGAUGCAACGCGUAGAACCUUACCUGGGUUUGACAUGGAUCGGGAGUGCUCAGAGAUGGGUGUGCCUCUUUUGGGGUCGGUUCACAGGUGGUGCAUGGCUGUCGUCAGCUCGUGUCGUGAGAUGUUGGGUUAAGUCCCGCAACGAGCGCAACCCUUGUUCACUGUUGCCAGCACGUUAUGGUGGGGACUCAGUAGAGACCGCCGGGGUCAACUCGGAGGAAGGUGGGGGUGACGUCAAGUCAUCAUGCCCCUUAUGUCCAGGGCUUCACGCAUGCUACAAUGGCUGGUACAGAGAGUGGCGAGCCUGUGAGGGUGAGCGAAUCUCGGAAAGCCGGUCUCAGUUCGGAUUGGGGUCUGCAACUCGACCUCAUGAAGUCGGAGUCGCUAGUAAUCGCAGAUCAGCAACGCUGCGGUGAAUACGUUCCCGGGGCU
Molecule: ribosomal RNA, 1346 nt
Filed under: uncultured bacterium
Lineage: Bacteria
Description: partial 16S ribosomal RNA
Rfam family: Bacterial small subunit ribosomal RNA
Source: RNAcentral